AACAGCCCAGCGCAUAACCUCCCGGGCUACCAAGCCUGCGGCGGAAUGUUGCGUUAAGGGAAAGGUCGUUUAAAAGCCCUGCACUACAUGGCCUAAGUUUGGCUUGAAUUUCUCACUGUAUCCUAACGGCUACAACGGCUCCACAGAGGGUGUCAGACCCGUGAGGCUAUGUGAUUAAAUGUGCGUGGGUUCGGCUUUAUUCCCUGAGAGUCGCGUUGCUUGAGCAUGCAGCGCUAAGCAGGUCGUAAACUCGACCUAAGGCUAAAUAUAUUCACAGAACCGAUAGUAAACAAGUACCGUGAGGGAAAGUUGAAAAGUACUCUGAAGAGAGAGUCAAAAGACCGUGAAACCGCUUAGAGUAUAAGCCAAUGGUAUUCUGGAAUGCUGGAGUCUCCUGUGCAAAAUGGUUCCCGAUUGUGGGGUACGUCUCACGGGUAUCGUGAGUGCGAGUGAUCAUGAAGGCUGAUGGGCAAUCGAACCGAAAAGUGGAAUUGAGUUUAUACCACGGCACCCAAAUCUCGCGGGUCUCUGACAGUGGUAACAGGGAACGUUCUAAUGAGGAACUGAACCGAGGCUGGGCUUCAGCGAGCAUCAGUUUGCAAGCAUUCUAACGAUUGGCUCUCUAAACAGCACACCACAAUCCUUUAUAAGGUCUCCCUCGUGAGGUGUGGUCAGAGAGAGUGAGAGAGAGAAGGAGAUUUAUCUCUGACUUUUUUGAUCUCUUUCUGUACGCGAGUUGUGUCGCGUUAUUGCUCUCUUGUUGUGUGUGCGUUUUGGCAGCGUGCUCCAUGUCCCGUAUAUAUGUGUGUAUAACACACGGCUUUGGCUUGCCUGUGUAUAUGCAUUCGGGAAACGGUGGUUGCUCGAGAGCCGGCCAACUUUGCACUGCACCGUUCCAGACACGAACGGAAUGAUCCUAUGUGAAGAUUGAAUCUGACCAGCCAAGGCCCGGAAGUCAUGUUUUAGCUGAGCAUGGCGAGUUAAUUGCACGGUUGUGCCCUUGCGCCUCGGUGCUUUAAGCCCCUCGUUGGUCUCUAUGGGGGACAGGGUUGCAUUUGCAGCCUCGACUCGUCCCACUCGAUGACUGACAAAAGGGUUGUGCUGGGCUGUGAGCGAGGGGCUCUCGUCGGGUGGCGGCUGUUUGGUGCAUUAUUCCAGAACCAUCGGUCACGUCUCGAAACACGGGCCAAGGAGCAUAGCAUGUGCGCAAGUCUAAGGGAUAAGAAAUCCUGGAGGCGAAGUGAAAGCAAAUGGUGUGUUUAUGAGUGUGCUCCCUCACGGGGGUGCGCUUGUAUUCAGCCUGCGAAGAGCGUAAUUCCUACGUGCCUCCUCGGGGGCGUGUGGAUGAAUGCGUCACGCGGCUAAACUGUGUUGAUCCCGAAUCGUAAUCAAGCCACACUGGCGAUACGCUGGCGCAAACACCAGGCUCUCGUACAUGGGUAUUUGUUUAUCCUUGAGAGCACUGGAUAGCGUGCAUGCUAUAACCCGAAAKAUAGUGAA
This 1500-nucleotide ribosomal RNA is filed under the name Epimeria sp. 6 MLV-2017. RNAcentral describes it as "partial 28S ribosomal RNA". It matches the Rfam family "Eukaryotic large subunit ribosomal RNA", at positions 103 to 830 of the family's 3401-position model. The record is from RNAcentral. Lineage: Eukaryota; Metazoa; Arthropoda; Malacostraca; Amphipoda; Epimeriidae.